RNAcentral lists this ribosomal RNA (478 nucleotides) under uncultured bacterium. Its description in RNAcentral is "partial 16S ribosomal RNA". It matches the Rfam family "Bacterial small subunit ribosomal RNA", at positions 28 to 523 of the family's 1533-position model. The record is from RNAcentral.
GACGGACGCUGGCGGCGUGCUUAACACAUGCAAGUCGAACGGUAAGGCCCUUCGGGGUACACGAGUGGCGAACGGGUGAGUAACACGUGGGUGAUCUGCCCUGCACUUCGGGAUAAGCCUGGGAAACUGGGUCUAAUACCGGAUAGGACUCCGGACUGCAUGGUCUGGGGUGUCAAGCUUUUGCGGUGUGGGGUGGGCCCGCGGCCUAUGAGCUUGUUGGUGGGGUGAUGGCCUACCAAGGCGACGACGGGUGGCCGGCCUGAGAGGGUGACCGGACGCACUGGGGCUGAGAUACGGCCCAGAGUCCUACGGGGGGCAGCAGUGGGGAAUAUUGCACAAUGGGCGCAAGCCUGAUGCAGCGACGCCGCGUGAGGGAUGACGGCCUUCGGGUUGUAAACCUCUUUCAGCAUCGACGAAGCGAAAGUGACGGUAGGUGCAGAAGAAGGACCGGCCAACUACGUGCCAGCAGCCGCGGUAA